GGUGUCUAGGGUUUUUAAUUAAAGGUUCUGCCGAGAGAUUGAUGAGAGUUGAGAAGCGAGAGAGAAUGAGAUUGAGAGUUGAGAUGCGAGAGAGAUCCAAAGGUUGCCUGGAGCGUCCACUGCUGGCAUCGCACUUGCUGCCAUCGAUUGCCGCUGCUCGUUUGUCUUCCCCGUCUUCAGGUUACACAACUUCAUAAUUGUUGUAGUUGCAUGCCCUGCUGCAUCUGAUCAUGCUCAUUACCUUAAUGAAGUGCAACAG
This is a long non-coding RNA of Solanum verrucosum, 259 nucleotides long. RefSeq lists it as uncharacterized. The transcript has 2 exons. The record is from RefSeq and is a predicted model, not a curated record. NCBI's taxonomy places the organism in Eukaryota, Viridiplantae, Streptophyta, Magnoliopsida, Solanales, Solanaceae.